GUCCAGGGAUGGGAAUCGAACCCACAAUGUUCCGCUUACCUGGCAGAUGCCAUGUCCACUAGGCUACCCUGGA
Molecule: transfer RNA, 73 nt
Filed under: Cordylochernes scorpioides
Lineage: Eukaryota; Metazoa; Arthropoda; Arachnida; Pseudoscorpiones; Chernetidae
Description: tRNA-Thr
Source: RNAcentral